UUGCGCAGUGGGAGGGUGUUUUAACCGGGCCUUCGGUCGUGCGGUCUUUAGUGGGGGAAGCCUCGUCAGGAAUUUUCGUCGAUUUAUCCGAUAAAAGCGAAACAGUUUGGUCGAUACUGCUUUACUGGCUGCGUAUUUCAAGACAAGGAUGCCCUGAGGCAUGGUACAUUGGGGAAACCG
Molecule: long non-coding RNA, 180 nt
Organism: Chiloscyllium plagiosum (whitespotted bambooshark)
Lineage: Eukaryota; Metazoa; Chordata; Chondrichthyes; Orectolobiformes; Hemiscylliidae
Source: RefSeq, a predicted model, not a curated record